This 468-nucleotide ribosomal RNA is filed under the name uncultured bacterium. RNAcentral describes it as "partial 16S ribosomal RNA". It matches the Rfam family "Bacterial small subunit ribosomal RNA", at positions 28 to 507 of the family's 1533-position model. The record is from RNAcentral.
GACGAACGCUGGCGGCGUGCUUAACACAUGCAAGUCGAACGGAAAGGCCCUGCUUUUGUGGGGUACUCGAGUGGCGAACGGGUGAGUACCACGUGAGUAACCUGCCCUUGACUUUGGGAUAACUUCAGGAAACUGGGGCUAAUACCGGAUAGGAGCUCCUGCUGCAUGGUGGGGGUUGGAAAGUUUCGGCGGUUGGGGAUGGACUCGCGGCUUAUCAGCUUGUUGGUGGGGUAGUGGCUUACCAAGGCUUUGACGGGUAGCCGGCCUGAGAGGGUGACCGGCCACAUUGGGACUGAGAUACGGCCCAGACUCCUACGGGAGGCAGCAGUGGGGAAUAUUGCACAAUGGGCGGAAGCCUGAUGCAGCAACGCCGCGUGCGGGAUGACGGCCUUCGGGUUGUAAACCGCUUUCGCCUGUGACGAAGCGUGAGUGACGGUAAUGGGUAAAGAAGCACCGGCUAACUACGUG